Molecule: ribosomal RNA, 253 nt
Filed under: uncultured bacterium
Lineage: Bacteria
Also listed under: 1 other name
Description: partial 16S ribosomal RNA
Rfam family: Bacterial small subunit ribosomal RNA
Source: RNAcentral
UACGGAGGGUGCGAGCGUUAAUCGGAAUUACUGGGCGUAAAGCGCACGUAGGUGGUUGGGUAAGUCGGAUGUGAAAGCCCUGGGCUUAACCUGGGAACUGCAUUCGAUACUGCCCGGCUAGAGUAUGGGAGAGGGAAGCGGAAUUUCCGGUGUAGCGGUGAAAUGCGUAGAUAUCGGAAGGAACACCAAUGGCGAAGGCAGCUUCCUGGCCCAAUACUGACGCUCAGGUGCGAAAGCGUGGGGAUCAAACAGG